Passer domesticus (house sparrow) is the source of this 1703-nucleotide long non-coding RNA. RefSeq lists it as uncharacterized. Lineage: Eukaryota; Metazoa; Chordata; Aves; Passeriformes; Passeridae. The transcript is spliced from 3 exons. The record is from RefSeq and is a predicted model, not a curated record.
UUGUUUUUUUUUUGGAAAGCCCAAAAGCAAAACGUCCCUUCCUUCAGGUGUGUAUAUAAGUUACUGUACUGUGUGGGAGGGUCACGAUCUCACUAGGUGCAGAAGAUUCCCCAGGAUUAACCCCUCCUCUCCCUACCCCUUCUGCAACUUGUUGAGGAUUUUAUACACACACGCGCGCAGGCACGGGCACACGGGCACACACACGCGCACACACACACACGGACGGGAGAGCAAGGAGAAAGCGAGCUCCGCGGAGUCCGGCUGCCCCCCGACGCCGUUGUGAUUGGAUGGUCUUUUCAUGGAGAGGGGACGUCUCAAGUCGAAGUCACGAUUUCUCCUCAGUUUGGAACCAUCUGUGACUGGAGCCAUGACGCAGCCAGAGCACAUUACUCACUUUUACAGUCACGACUUGGAAAUCCGUGCAGUUUCCAACCAAAAUUACACCGCCACCAUUGAAUUAUUUAAUAGGAUCCAGUUAAGGAUUAGAGCCAUUGCAUGCGGUCUUGGCCAGGAGGUGCUCUCACCCCAGCCCCGUGUACUGUGCUAUACUGAUGUUCAUGGCUGCAUCAUGCCAUUGUCUGCAGGAUCCGCAAUUGUUGCUGGGCUUUGUGUGGUCUCAGUCUGCGGCUAAGCCCCCUUCCACGGCGGUUUCGGAGGGGAUACCAUUGUCCGGGAUAACGCGGUGGUGCAUGUGAGUGCCAGACGGUGUUUCCUUGUCUGUUUCAAUGCAAUCUGAUGACAUGCCUUUGCUAGCCGGAAUGCCUGCGAACCUGCAUGCUCGUAGCCUAGCGAGAACUUCCCUGGCUCUCAGAAGCGGUGAGGGGGUGACGGGUGGUUGCAGCACAGAGGUAACCCCACAUAGCUACUCCGUAUACACCACAACAAUCCCCUACUACUUCGCCUCUAGUUCAGUCAUUUCACCAACUCCGCUGGUGAGGGUAUGACUAAGGACGCGAAGGACGGGCAAUAAUAAAAACAGACGCUCGCACACGCGAUCUGCAGAAAGUGUGAGCACUUAGAGGGGAAAAAUGAGGUGGGAGGAGAAGGGGUGAGUCCAAAUAAAGCAACCUAUAGCCUCUUAUUUUGCGGAGCACCAUCAUCAGGUACAGGCUCUUUCAAACGCACGGGCGGGAAGGGCAGGCGGCGCCGGGCGGAGGAGGGCGGCGGGGAAGCCGCCGGGGGAGCGGCGCUGCGGGCGGCGCAGCGCGGCCCCCGCCCGGCGGGCACCGGGGCCGGCACCGACUCCCGCCCGUGGCGGGAGCGGCGGCGGAGGAGCGGCGGCGGGUUCAGCACCGGGGCGCGGACAGCUCCCGGCGGCCGCCCUGCGGGGAGCGGCCGGCCUGCGCCCCCGGCCCCGCCGCCGGCUCUGCCUCUCCCCCCGCGGAGGGCGAAAAUAGAGGGGGGGGCGGGCAGGGAGAGGGGCUCAACAGCGCCGACAGAGAGAGAGAGAGAGUUGCAGCUCGCUAUUGAUUCAGAGAUUUACCGACAGGGUGAUUCCCCUUUCUGCAAGAAUUCCCUCUGUCUGAGCUCCGGGCAUGCACCAAAUUCAUUAUGUAGACGAGUAUAACCCUCUCGCUUUAGAGGAAAAGUAGAAAAGAAGGAAAAAACAAUCCAGGCAUGCAUAAAAUAAAGACAAGACUCACAGCCACUCUCUGUAUCAUGCACAGGAAAGAUCACUACUUACCCAAACGGGAACUCCUCGG